UGAAGGGUGUUUUUGGCCUACUCUUCCAAGUCUUGGCCGCACGUCUCGGAAAAAAGAGGUUAAAAGCAACACGAGUCCUGCUGCUGCCAGGAGACGCGUUCCUGAGUCAGCAACCACCGGAGCGAUUGCCUCCGAUAGCAGUGAAGUGGCAACAUCCGCCAACCACCAGUCCACUCACCCCCCAGCCACCACAGGGGUAGGGCGCCGCCCUACCCAGGAGGAACCAGACGAGAAGGCAGCAGCAGCAGCAGCAGCCACGCGAGAAAGAAGAGGCUUAUCGCAGCCGUGGCUCAAAGGUGCGAUGGACUUUCAACAGGACCUCCAUCUCUUCUCUGUCGACCUGGUCAAGACCUAUGAUGCCAUCAAGGGGCAAGGGCUUUUGGUUAUUCUUGAUGCUAUUUGGGGUCCUUGACCCCUCUGCUCACGAUUCAUUAAG
Lethenteron reissneri (Far Eastern brook lamprey) is the source of this 436-nucleotide long non-coding RNA. RefSeq lists it as uncharacterized. The record is from RefSeq and is a predicted model, not a curated record. NCBI's taxonomy places the organism in Eukaryota, Metazoa, Chordata, Hyperoartia, Petromyzontiformes, Petromyzontidae.